This 495-nucleotide ribosomal RNA is filed under the name uncultured Solirubrobacterales bacterium. RNAcentral describes it as "partial 16S ribosomal RNA". The record is from RNAcentral. Lineage: Bacteria; Bacillati; Actinomycetota; Thermoleophilia; Solirubrobacterales.
CACGUAGUUAGCCGGGGCUUCUUCUGAAGGUACCGUCACUCCAGCCGGCUGUUCACCGUCGAAGCUUCGUCCCAACUGAAAGGGGUUUACAACCCGAAGGCCUUCUUCCCCCACGCGGCGUUGCUGCAUCACGCUUUCGCGCAUUGUGCAAGAUUCCCCACUGCUGCCUCCCGUAGGAGUCUGGGCCGUGUCUCAGUCCCAGUGUGGCUGAUCGUCCUCUCAGACCAGCUACGCAUCGAAGCCUUGGUAGGCCGUUACCCCACCAACAAGCUAAUGCGCCGCGGGCCCAUCUCGACGCGAAGGCCGAAGCUAUCUUUCCUCGACUCACUGAUGUGAGAAGAGCUCAUCCGGUAUUAGCCCGAGUUUCCUCGGGUUGUCCCGAUCAUCGAGGUAGGUUACCCACGUGUUACUCACCCGUUCGCGGCUCUGCCCCAGGGCAACGCCCUGGUUCGUCGCUCCACUUGCAUGUGUUAAGCACGCCGCCAGCGUCGUCCU